Molecule: long non-coding RNA, 353 nt
Filed under: Gallus gallus (chicken)
Lineage: Eukaryota; Metazoa; Chordata; Aves; Galliformes; Phasianidae
Source: RNAcentral
GGCUGGUGCUGCAGGACACGGUGAUGCGCUCCAUCAUGUUCCCUGCAAUUUCAAACAUGUGCUCGUUCCCUUCAGCAUCUUCCAGCUUUGUCAGCGUCAUUCCCGUUAAAGGCAGCCUUCCCUGAUAGAUGAACCCGCUCAUCCGCGGGCUUGCAGACAGCAUGAGCAGAACAUUUGAAAACAGCAAGAAAUAUCGCUCUUCUUUCUCCUCGCUCCCCCCGCUCUGCACCAUGACCUGGGACAUGUAGAUGAUGUUUCCCAUUGUUUUUAUGUCCUCUCCUUCCCAGCGCUGGAUGGAUUCGGAAAGGAUCUGCAGCUCAAGUUGUUUCCUCUUCCUCAGCUCCUGGCACUGC